Molecule: transfer RNA, 67 nt
Filed under: Nepsalus chikuni
Lineage: Eukaryota; Metazoa; Arthropoda; Insecta; Neuroptera; Myrmeleontidae
Description: tRNA-Met
Source: RNAcentral
AAAAAGGUAAGCUAAAUAAGCUACUGGGUUCAUACCCCACUUAUAAAGGUUACUCCUUUCCUUUUUA